CGGAGGAUCCAAGCGUUAUCCGGAAUCAUUGGGUUUAAAGGGUCCGUAGGCGGUUUAGUAAGUCAGUGGUGAAAGCCCAUCGCUCAACGGUGGAACGGCCAUUGAUACUGCUAGACUUGAAUUAUUAGGAAGUAACUAGAAUAUGUAGUGUAGCGGUGAAAUGCUUAGAGAUUACAUGGAAUACCAAUUGCGAAGGCAGGUUACUACUAAUGGAUUGACGCUGAUGGACGAAAGCGUGGGUAGCGAACAGGAUUAGAUACCCUGGUAGUCCACGCCGUAAACGAUGGAUACUAGCUGUUGGGAGCGAUCUCAGUGGCUAAGCGAAAGUGAUAAGUAUCCCACCUGGGGAUACGUUCGCAAGAAUG
RNAcentral lists this ribosomal RNA (365 nucleotides) under uncultured organism. RNAcentral's name for it is "bacterial SSU rRNA". It matches the Rfam family "Bacterial small subunit ribosomal RNA", at positions 526 to 896 of the family's 1533-position model. The record is from RNAcentral.